This 394-nucleotide ribosomal RNA is filed under the name uncultured bacterium. RNAcentral's name for it is "bacterial SSU rRNA". It matches the Rfam family "Bacterial small subunit ribosomal RNA", at positions 505 to 898 of the family's 1533-position model. The record is from RNAcentral.
GUGUCAGCAGCCGCGGUAAUACGAAGGGGGCUAGCGUUGUUCGGAAUUACUGGGCGUAAAGGGCGCGCAGGCGGCCGCUCAAGUCAGAUGUGAAAGCCCCGGGCUCAACCUGGGAACUGCAUUUGAUACUGAGUGGCUAGAGUUCGGGAGAGGAGAGUGGAAUUCCCAGUGUAGAGGUGAAAUUCGUAGAUAUUGGGAAGAACACCGGUGGCGAAGGCGGCUCUCUGGACCGAUACUGACGCUGAGGCGCGAAAGCGUGGGGAGCAAACAGGAUUAGAUACCCUGGUAGUCCACGCCGUAAACGAUGUGCGCUAGACGUUGGGGGGCCUAGCCCUCCGGUGUCGCAGCUAACGCGAUAAGCGCACCGCCUGGGGAGUACGGCCGCAAGGUUAAA